This 503-nucleotide ribosomal RNA is filed under the name uncultured bacterium. Its description in RNAcentral is "partial 16S ribosomal RNA". It matches the Rfam family "Bacterial small subunit ribosomal RNA", at positions 30 to 523 of the family's 1533-position model. The record is from RNAcentral.
AUUGAACGCUGGCGGCAGGCUUGACACAUGCAAGUCGAGCGGGGUGAUGGUGCUUGCACUAUCACUUAGCGGCGGACGGGUGAGUAAUGCUUAGGAAUCUGCCUAUUAGUGGGGGACAACAUCUCGAAAGGGAUGCUAAUACCGCAUACGUCCUACGGGAGAAAGCAGGGGAUCACUUGUGACCUUGCGCUAAUAGAUGAGCCUAAGUCGGAUUAGCUAGUUGGUGGGGUAAAGGCCUACCAAGGCGACGAUCUGUAGCGGGUCUGCGAGGAUGAUCCGGCACACUGGGACUGAGACACGGCCCAGACUCCUACGGGAGGCAGCAGUGGGGAAUAUUGGACAAUGGGGGGAACCCUGAUCCAGCCAUGCCGCGUGUGUGAAGAAGGCCUUAUGGUUGUAAAGCACUUUAAGCGAGGAGGAGGCUCUUUUGGUUAAUACCCAAGAUGAGUGGACGUUACUCGCAGAAUAAGCACCGGCUAACUCUGUGCCAGCAGCCGCAGUAA